RNAcentral lists this ribosomal RNA (440 nucleotides) under uncultured bacterium. RNAcentral's name for it is "partial 16S ribosomal RNA". It matches the Rfam family "Bacterial small subunit ribosomal RNA", at positions 339 to 795 of the family's 1533-position model. The record is from RNAcentral.
CUACGGGAGGCUGCAGUGAGGAAUAUUGCACAAUGGGGGGAACCCUGAUGCAGCAACGCCGCGUGGAGGAUGACGCAUUUCGGUGUGUAAACUCCUUUUAUAUGUCAAGAAAAUGACGGUAGCAUAUGAAUAAGCACCGGCUAACUCCGUGCCAGCAGCCGCGGUAAGUACGGAGGGUGCAAGCGUUACUCGGAAUCACUGGGCGUAAAGGACGCGUAGGCGGGUUGGAAAGUCAGGUGUGAAAUCCUACAGCUUAACUGUAGAACUGCACUUGAAACUUCUAAUCUAGAGUAUGGGAGGGGGAGAUGGAAUUAGUGGUGUAGGGGUAAAAUCCGUAGAUAUCACUAGGAAUACCUAAAGCGAAGGCGAUCUCCUGGAACAUUACUGACGCUAAGGCGUGAAAGCGUGGGGAGCAAACAGGAUUAGAUACCCUAGUAGUC